UUAACUGAAACCAAAAAGAGGUAUAUUACUGUUUAUAAUAAAACUGAAUAUUUAUAUUCCAGUUAAG
RNAcentral lists this transfer RNA (67 nucleotides) under Geoscapheus robustus. Its description in RNAcentral is "tRNA-Asn". Lineage: Eukaryota; Metazoa; Arthropoda; Insecta; Blattodea; Blaberidae. The record is from RNAcentral.